AGCAGCCGCGGUAAUUCCAGCUCCAAUAGCGUAUAUUAAAGUUGUUGCAGUUAAAAAGCUCGUAGUUGAAUUUCGGGAUCAAUGUUUCGGUCAUGCCCUUGGUAUGUACUGAUAUUAUUGGUUUCUCACCUUCUAAAGAACCGUAAUGCCAUUAAUUUGGUGUCACGGGGAAUUAGGACUGUUACCUUGAAAAAAUUAGAGUGUUUAAAGCAGGCUCACGCUUGAAUACAUUAGCAUGGAAUAAUGAAAUAGGACAUCCGAUUCUAUUUUGUUGGUUUCUAGGAUCGAUGUAAUGAUUAAUAGGGAUAGUUGGGGGCAUUAGUAUUCAAUUGUCGGAGGUGAAAUUCUUGGAUUUAUUGAAGACUAACUACUGCGAAAGCAUUUGCCAAGGAUGUUUUCAUUAAUCAAGAACGAAAGUUAGGGGAUCGAAGACGAUCAGAUACCGUCGUAGUCUUAACCAUAAACUAUGCCGACUAGGGAUCGGAUGAUGUUAAUUUUUUAAUGACUCA
Molecule: ribosomal RNA, 509 nt
Filed under: uncultured glomeraceous AM fungus
Lineage: Eukaryota; Fungi; Glomeromycota; Glomeromycetes; Glomerales; Glomeraceae
Description: SSU rRNA
Rfam family: Eukaryotic small subunit ribosomal RNA
Source: RNAcentral